Molecule: ribosomal RNA, 443 nt
Filed under: uncultured Pelagibacterales bacterium
Lineage: Bacteria; Pseudomonadati; Pseudomonadota; Alphaproteobacteria; Candidatus Pelagibacterales
Description: bacterial SSU rRNA
Rfam family: Bacterial small subunit ribosomal RNA
Source: RNAcentral
AGUGGGUAGUCCGCACGAGCGCACCUCACUUUUAGUUGCCAUCAUUAAGUUGGGCACUCUGAAAGAACUGCCAGUGAUAAGCUGGAGGAAGGUGGGGAUGACGUCAAGUCCUCAUGGCCCUUACGUGUUGGGCUACACACGUGCUACAAUGGCAUCUACAACAGGAAGCAAAACGGCAACGUUUAGCAAAUCCCGAAAAGAUGCCUCAGUUCGGAUUGCACUCUGCAACUCGAGUGCAUGAAGCUGGAAUUACUAGUAAUCGUGGAUCAGCGUGCCACGGUGAAUGCGUUCCCGGGUCUUGUACACACCGCCCGUCACACCAUGGGAGUUGGUUCUACCUUAAGGCAAGGUUUUAAACCCUUGACCACGGUAUAGUCAGCGACUGGGGUGAAGUCGUAACAAGGUAGCCGUAGGGGAACCUGCGGCUGGAUUACCUCCUUUCU